AUUAAUAUUAAUUUUAGUAUAGUCUCCAGGUAUAAUCUGAAAAAGAAUACUUGGUAAGAAAGCAUUAAUCUUAUGCUUUAAAAAACAUUUAAAAACAAGGUCUAAAGCAUUCAUCAAAGUGUGCAUAACUUUUAAAAAUGAAGAUGGCAGAGUCUUGUUAUAUUAUCCACUUUGGUCUCAAACUCCUGGGCUCCUCAAGCCAUCUUUCAGCCUCAGCCUCCUGAGUAGCUGAGAUUACAAGCAGGUACCACCAGGCCCUUUUAGGCUUUCAAUAUUCUACGUUUUUCUAUUGUUGAUUAAAAUGCAUUUUACUUUUUUUUAAAAAUAGUGGAUGGGCGUUCUGAAGACUCUGCUGUCAGGUAGGAUUCACAGAUUUUUAAAAAUUAUAUGUUAACUAAGGUAAUACAGAGAAAAGAAACUAACAUCUCUUGAGUGUUGUACUCUGGGCUAGAAACCAUAUUAUAUGCUUAACUCAUACAGUCAUCGUAACAGCUUUGCAAACUAUCCAGGCUAUUAUAACCAACUUUUUACUAAUUAAGCUACUGUGGUUCAGAGAAGUUAACUGGCCAUGAUCCGAUAAUUAACAAGCAGCUGACCUAUGAUUUGACCACCAGCUUGCUGGACUCCCAAGCUCCUUCUCUGUCCCUCAGCGUAGACUGAUAGAUACCGUGCAGCCCUGGGAUCAAGGUACAGGUACAAAUUAGAUGAAUUCAGAAAGUCAGAUCUAGUUAUAUAUUAACUCUGGCUUACACACUUUUCCUUAGAAGCCUGUUUAAUUCAGGAGUUUGUCCUAAUAUACUGAACAAUUUCAGUGGUAACCAGUGCCUCAUUUUUACCCUCGAAGGUUUCAGGGCAGGUCUCAUUUAGCUAUAGCCGCCGGACCAUGGGUUUUACAUAAGCAAGACCAGGCAAGUCCUGAAGAGGAAUUAUUUUCUUGUUUUCUGGCAAACAAACUAUUGAUUAUUUAUUGCCUACAUCAGAUGAUGAAGACAUUGAUUCUGAUAUCAAGGAUGGAGCAAUUAAGCCAGCAAAUGGACAAAGACAAAAUGAUACUGGUGUUAUUGCAAGUGCCCCACAAGAAUACACAAAUAAUGACAGUUUAAUUUUUGUUGACAAAAACAACAGAAGUGAUACAACAGCCACAUCAGGAUCCGGACAAGACAGAAAUAUGGAAUCACUUUUGGAUUCUGAGGACGGAGCAGCUAAGCCAGCAAAUGGAAAAAGACAAAAUGGUACUGAUAUUAUUGAACGCACCCCAUGAGAGCACACAAAUACUGCAGUGUCCUCAUCAGGAUCAGGACAAGACGGCAAUAUAGAAUCACUUUUGGAUUAUGAAGUAUUAGCUGUUGUUUUUUUGUUGUUAUAUAAAAAAAUAAAACCAUUCUGUGAUGUUAAAUCAUAAAAGAG
This 1407-nucleotide long non-coding RNA is filed under the name Cercocebus atys (sooty mangabey). RNAcentral's name for it is "lncRNA (ENSCATG00000045647.1)". The record is from RNAcentral. Lineage: Eukaryota; Metazoa; Chordata; Mammalia; Primates; Cercopithecidae.